RNAcentral lists this ribosomal RNA (94 nucleotides) under Chitinophaga sp. Cy-1792. RNAcentral's name for it is "partial 16S ribosomal RNA". The stretch from base 1 to 82 matches the Rfam family "Bacterial small subunit ribosomal RNA", at positions 1452 to 1533 of the family's 1533-position model. Lineage: Bacteria; Pseudomonadati; Bacteroidota; Chitinophagia; Chitinophagales; Chitinophagaceae. The record is from RNAcentral. RNAcentral also lists the same sequence under 1 other name.
ACCGCCUAGGGUAAAAUCGGUAAUUGGGGCUAAGUCGUAACAAGGUAGCCGUAUCGGAAGGUGCGGCUGGAAUACCUCCUUUUUAGAGCUCAUU